CCAAGCCCUCCCGCCGCACCGUGAUCGUGGGGCGCGCCGUGCCGCCCGCACGCCGGGGGCGGCGGAGGCGGAAGG
This 75-nucleotide transfer RNA is filed under the name Streptomyces sp. PVA_94-07. Lineage: Bacteria; Bacillati; Actinomycetota; Actinomycetes; Kitasatosporales; Streptomycetaceae. The record is from RNAcentral.